CUCAGGUGGGGAUUCACCUAACAUGUUGGUUCUGAACAUGGCAUAGGGGCCAUCCUUGGAGUCAAGUGGGUCCAUGAGGCGCAGGGUGUCUCUGAUCACGGCCACUUUCACCUCCUCAUCGACAAGGCUGGGGACAUUUUCAAACACCCCUGGAGAAAGCUUGAAUGGUCUCCUACUGAGGUCCCAGAAGGCAUCGCGCUGAUUCCAUCCGAACACAACACUCGAUUGCUGAGCCUCAGGAGUAUCUCUGACUUGCUGUGUGACUGGGCCAAGCCUCUUUCCUUCUCUGUGUCUCAGUUUCCUCAUCUAUACAAUGGAGGGAUUUCUCUGCUUAGGACUUCCAGGACUCUCUCUAGAAGCUCUCUGGAGAACAAGGGUUAUGACAAGACUGCCUACAGGAUAGCACUGUGCUAUGAGAGGUCACGACCUUGUUCCCCUGUGGGGACGCCCACCCUGUGUGCAGUGAGACCGAGGCUGCCUCCCUCUCUAGGCAGGGACACAGAGCGGGGUCAAUCCUCAUUCUCAAAGUAAGGUGGAAAUCAGGGAAACCUGCAGUGUUGGACACAAAUCUGGAAAGUGUUAGAAAUUAAACGCCUUUAAGCCAU
Eptesicus fuscus (big brown bat) is the source of this 605-nucleotide long non-coding RNA. RefSeq lists it as uncharacterized. The transcript is spliced from 4 exons. NCBI's taxonomy places the organism in Eukaryota, Metazoa, Chordata, Mammalia, Chiroptera, Vespertilionidae. The record is from RefSeq and is a predicted model, not a curated record.